RNAcentral lists this ribosomal RNA (245 nucleotides) under uncultured bacterium. RNAcentral describes it as "partial 16S ribosomal RNA". It matches the Rfam family "Bacterial small subunit ribosomal RNA", at positions 524 to 768 of the family's 1533-position model. The record is from RNAcentral.
UACGGAGGGUGCAAGCGUUGCUCGGAAUUACUGGGCGUAAAGCGUGUGUAGGCGGCCUUUUAGGUCGGGUGUGAAAGCCCUGGGCUUAACCCAGGAAAUGCGCCCGAAACCGGAAGGCUUGAGUGCCGGAGAGGGUGGUAGAAUUCCCAGUGUAGAGGUGAAAUUCGUAGAUAUUGGGAGGAACACCAGUGGCGAAGGCGGCCACCUGGACGGACACUGACGCUGAGACACGAAAGCGUGGGGAG